ACGAUUGUGAUGAAAUUGGUAGACAUGAUUGAUUUAGGUUCAGUUGAUUUAUGAUCGUGCAGGUUCGAGUCCUGCCAAUCGUA
RNAcentral lists this transfer RNA (83 nucleotides) under Parasitella parasitica. RNAcentral describes it as "tRNA-Leu (TAG) (tRNA-Leu-TAG-2-1)". It matches the Rfam family "tRNA". Rfam says of the family: Transfer RNA (tRNA) molecules are approximately 80 nucleotides in length. Their secondary structure includes four short double-helical elements and three loops (D, anti-codon, and T loops). The record is from Rfam by way of RNAcentral. Lineage: Eukaryota; Fungi; Mucoromycota; Mucoromycetes; Mucorales; Mucoraceae.